Mauremys reevesii (Reeves's turtle) is the source of this 200-nucleotide long non-coding RNA. RefSeq lists it as uncharacterized. Lineage: Eukaryota; Metazoa; Chordata; Testudines; Geoemydidae. The record is from RefSeq and is a predicted model, not a curated record. The transcript is spliced from 3 exons.
GUUCUUGGCUAGAUGCAUGAAUCACCUUGUCAGGUUCUCUGGACAGUCCUUUGCAGGAGGUUCGCUUGCUGCAAGCCAGGAAAUGUGUAGCUCUCCAGGCACUCUCCCCGCCCCGCGGCUGUUUCUGGACAGGCUGUCAGCUCAUCAAGGGGACACGGCCUUGCUGUCGUGUUUAGUCCCUUGUGGCAUCCCAGUGACCC